This is a long non-coding RNA of Leptidea sinapis, 2888 nucleotides long. RefSeq lists it as uncharacterized. The transcript has 3 exons. The record is from RefSeq and is a predicted model, not a curated record. Lineage: Eukaryota; Metazoa; Arthropoda; Insecta; Lepidoptera; Pieridae.
UGCUACGAUACUAUUUUAAGCUACUAAUAACUAUUUAGCUAUACUUAGUACCUAAAACUAAACUAUUGUCUACCUCUUUAACUAUAUAUAAAAAUAAUUACAAUAAUACUAAAAUAUAUUAAACUACUGUAUUUACAUAUGUAAUGCAGGCAUUUACCUAUAGAUAAUAUAUAAUUAUUAAAAUUUACCUAAGUAGAAGUGCUAAAAUAUAUACAAAUUAAAUUACAAUAUCAAGUAUCAAUAGUGAAUAGACUCAAGACUGAACCAUGUCCAUAACUAGUAAAUAUUAGAGUCUAGAGGCAGAAGCCUCGGACAAUUCAAUACAUAUGUUACACUUUUUACAAAUCUUUCACAGUGAAAAGAAUAAAUUCGUAGAUUGCCAGGAAGCAAUCUCUAUGUGAUAAAAGUUGCGGAAGAGAGCGCGGGAUAUUAUCUGAUGAUUUAUAAAUGCUAAGUAGAUGAUCAAUUAGUACAAUCCUAUCAAGUAUAAAACUACGGCAUUCGAAGAAAAUGUGGUGAAGACAUUGGGGUUCGUUGGAAUUACAGAAGUUGCAAUUCGGAGAUGGGAUAAGGUUUAUCCGUAUGAACAUUAAAUAGACAAUGGCCCAGACGUAAGCGACACAAAACCGUAUAAAAUUUUUUGUUAUGGUGUUGGUUACCUCUGCAAAACCAAGGAAUACCAAUUGAAUUAUUAAUUUCAGCAUACCAUUUACCCUUUGUUUCAAUAGUUUGAUACCAAUGUUGGUUAAAGUUUUCUGUAAUUUCCUUCUUAAUACAGAUUAGAAGAUCAGAUUGUGGAGGCGAAAUCUGUUUAUUAGAAAAAGGUAUAGUUGAAGAGUUGUUUGUGAUGGAUUUGGCAAGGAAAUCAGCUUUUUCGUUACCUAUAACACCAAUAUGUGAAGGUGUCCAAAAAAUACUAUAUUUUUUGAAAAGGAUAAUUGAAAGUAUUUUUCUCGAAUUUCGUGAAUGAUGUAAUUUGUUUUAGAAUUGAGUCCAGGAUUAUCUAAAGCUUGUAAAACACUCAUGCUAUCAGUGACUAUAACCCAUUUAUUAGAGACUUGCUUUUGGAUAUAAUUCAGAGCUUCUAAUAUUGCCGAAGAGUCUGCUGAGAAAAUACUGAAUUUUUCAGGUAACUUGUACCCUAAGCCUCUCUCUGCAGUAACAUCAUAGAAAGCAGUUGCCACUGCCUCACUGUUUUUUGCACCAUCAGUGUAGAUUUGUUGAUACCCCACAAAGUCUGAUAAACCAUUGAAGACAUCCUCUUUAUAUUUUAAUUUGUAGUGUAUGACUAUCUCUAUAAGGCAAAACUUACUUAAAUAAGAACCAUUAUAACAAGGAAAUUGGAGUGAACUUAAAAUGGAUGAAAGAAUAUGCAAAUUUACAUUGUUGAAGGCACCAAUUAUGUCAAGGAAAACAGCUACUAAGACUUUGUUGUUCUGAAAAGCAUCAUCAAUAUCCAAAUACAAAUGGCUCAGACUCUCUCUGGCAGAGCGACCAUGGCGAAAUCCAAACUGAUUGCUUGGUAAUAUGCUAUUAUGUUCAACAUAAAAUUCAAUCCUUUGUUUUAAUAAUUGUUCAAAAAUUUUUCCAACACAAGAUGAUAAAGUAAUUGGGGGAUAAGAAUCUGCCUCAUUAGGGUUUUUGUCCAGUUUAAGUAUUGGUACCAAACAAUCAACUUUCCAUUCGCGAGGUAUGGUGUUAAAUUUCCAGAAUAAAUUAAUAAUUACCUAAAAAAUUUGUAAGUUUGAUGUAUCUAACAACUGUAACAUUUUAUAUGAUAUGCCAUCAAGUCCACAAGCAGUAUUUUUUCUUGAUUUCAAAGCUGCCUGUAAUUCAACUAUUGUAAAGCUAUCAGUCAGAUAUGAAUUGGAGGGCAGUGACUUAAGGCUACUAUUUGAGAUAGAAGUGUUCUCUACUGUAUCAGUGGGAAGAUGAUAUCCUCCUAAAGGGGAAUCACAGACCUUCCAUUCACAAGAUAAAAGUAAUGAAGAGGAUACCAUUGUCAAAUCAAGACCAUUCGGCCGCCAACUGUUUGUUGUCAUUCAAAAGUGCCAAGUCAUUCUCCUCCAUGACAUCUAAGAUAUCUCUACCACGAGUGUCUGUGCUUCCACAACCCCAAAGAGUAAUAUGUGCAUUAAAAUCACCAGCUAUUAUCAUUGGACCAGGAAUGGACUUUAUUAAAUUAUUCAACUUUGAUUUUGUAAAACAAGGAGUGGAACGUGGAGGACUAUAGAAGCUUACUUUUGAUAUUAAUAUGUGGUUAAUUUGUAUUUGUAUAACAAUAUUUUGUAUUGAAUCAUCAUAUGAAGUAAUUACAUUUUGAAAAUGAAUACUAUUAUGAACUAUAACAGCCACACCAUUAUGAGCAUUAUCACAGUCAUUUCUCACAAUGGUAUAGCCUUUUAUACUAAGUUUCAUAGAAGGUUUUAACCAGGUCUCUGAAAUUAAAGCUAUGUGAAUUUGUUUAUCACUAAUAAAUUUCUUGAAAUCAUUUUUAUUAUGCAUAGUGCUUUGAGCAUUCCACUGCAUAAUAUUUAGGGUGUUGAAAUUGAAUUUGAAGGGAAAAAAAAUGUAUUUCAGUAAAUUCUUAGUCAAUAAAAAAAAUACUUUGAGAGUCUGAUAUGUUAGGUGUUAUUGUUUUUUAAUGUUGCAUGUAAAAUAUCUGUAAUAUUUUGACUGUUAAUUGCCAUAUUUUCUGUUUUAUUUAAUGAUAUUAUUCUGAUUAACGAUUUUGUUAUCAAAUUAAUUGUUAACAUAAUUAAUUAACUUUGUUGUCUGAAAGUAAUUUAGAGAUAUCUAGUGGAUUUUUAUUUAAGCUGGGGAAAUUACUUUCAUUAAACAAAGAUGAGUAAGGUCUUGAAAUAAAUUUGUUUUUAUUUUCUGUGAUA